This 293-nucleotide unclassified non-coding RNA is filed under the name uncultured Alphaproteobacteria bacterium. RNAcentral's name for it is "contains 16S-23S intergenic spacer region". The record is from RNAcentral. Lineage: Bacteria; Pseudomonadati; Pseudomonadota; Alphaproteobacteria.
GGGACUACUAGGGUAUCUAAUCCUGUUUGCUCCCCACGCUUUCGCACCUCAGCGUCAGUAUCGGACCAGUGAGCCGCCUUCGCCACCGGUGUUCUUCCCAAUAUCUACGAAUUUCACCUCUACACUGGGAAUUCCACUCACCUCUUCCGAUCUCUAGAUGUCCAGUAUCAAGGGCAGUUCCGGAGUUGAGCUCCGGGAUUUCACCCCUGACUUAACCACCCGCCUACGUGCGCUUUACGCCCAGUAAUUCCGAACAACGCUAGCCCCCUUCGUAUUACCGCGGCGGCUGGCAC